UGAGAGUUGACUGAGUUAAGGUGGUAAGCUGUAAACUUACUGACAGGAUUGUUCCUACUCUCAA
RNAcentral lists this transfer RNA (64 nucleotides) under Solen strictus (Gould's razor shell). RNAcentral describes it as "tRNA-Tyr". Lineage: Eukaryota; Metazoa; Mollusca; Bivalvia; Adapedonta; Solenidae. The record is from RNAcentral.